Molecule: ribosomal RNA, 253 nt
Filed under: uncultured bacterium
Lineage: Bacteria
Description: partial 16S ribosomal RNA
Rfam family: Bacterial small subunit ribosomal RNA
Source: RNAcentral
UACGUAGGGUGCAAGCGUUAAUCGGAAUUACUGGGCGUAAAGCGUGCGCAGGCGGUGCUGUAAGACAGGCGUGAAAUCCCCGGGCUCAACCUGGGAACUGCAUUUGUGACUGUGGGGCUAGAGUACGGUAGAGGGGGAUGGAAUUCCGCGUGUAGCAGUGAAAUGCGUAGAUAUGCGGAGGAACACCAAUGGCGAAGGCAAUCCCCUGGACCUGUACUGACGCUCAUGCACGAAAGCGUGGGGAGCAAACAGG